GGGCAAUCGGCAGCUUACACAUGCAGUCGAGGGGUAUAUGUCUUCGGAUAUAGAGACCGGCGCACGGGUGCGUAACGCGUAUGCAAUCUGCCUUUCACAGAGGGAUAGCCCAGAGAAAUUUGGAUUAAUACCUCAUAGUAUUACGAUAAGGCAUCUUAUUGUAAUUAAAGUCACAACGGUGAAAGAUGAGCAUGCGUCCCAUUAGCUUGUUGGUAAGGUAACGGCUUACCAAGGCUACGAUGGGUAGGGGUCCUGAGAGGGAGAUCCCCCACACUGGUACUGAGACACGGACCAGACUCCUACGGGAGGCAGCAGUGAGGAAUAUUGGUCAAUGGACGCAAGUCUGAACCAGCCAUGCCGCGUGCAGGAUGACGGUCCUAUGGAUUGUAAACUGCUUUUGUACGAGAAGAAACACUCCGACGUGUCGGAGCUUGACGGUAUCGUAAGAAUAAGGAUCGGCUAACUCCGUGCCAGCAGCCGCGGUAAUACGGAGGAUCCAAGCGUUAUCCGGAAUCAUUGGGUUUAAAGGGUCCGUAGGCGGUUUAGUAAGUCAGUGGUGAAAGCCCAUCGCUCAACGGUGGAACGGCCAUUGAUACUGCUGAACUUGAAUUACUGGGAAGUAACUAGAAUAUGUAGUGUAGCGGUGAAAUGCUUAGAUAUUACAUGGAAUACCAAUUGCGAAGGCAGGUUACUACCAGUUUAUUGACGCUGAUGGACGAAAGCGUGGGGAGCGAACAGGAUUAGAUACCCUGGUAGUCCACGCCGUAAACGAUGGAUACUAGCUGUUGGGGGCAACUUCAGUGGCUAAGCGAAAGUGAUAAGUAUCCCACCUGGGGAGUACGAACGCAAGUUUGAAACUCAAAGGAAUUGACGGGGGCCCGCACAAGCGGUGGAGCAUGUGGUUUAAUUCGAUGAUACGCGAGGAACCUUACCAAGGCUUAAAUGCAGACUGACCGAUUUGGAAACAGAUCUUUCGCAGACAGUUUACAGUGCUGCAUGGUGUCGUCAGCUCGUGCCGUGAGUGUCAGUAGUCUAUACGAGCGCACCCUGUGUAGUGCAGCGAGUAGUGUCGGGACUCUACAGACUGCAGUGCACUGUGAGAGGUGGGGGAUGACGUCAUCAUCACGUCUAACGCUGGCUAACCACUGCUACAAUGACGUUACAAGAGACAGCCAUGGGUACUGAGCGAAUCUUUAAGCGGCUCAAGGUCGGAUCGGGAGAUGA
Molecule: ribosomal RNA, 1224 nt
Filed under: Flavobacterium sp.
Lineage: Bacteria; Pseudomonadati; Bacteroidota; Flavobacteriia; Flavobacteriales; Flavobacteriaceae
Description: bacterial SSU rRNA
Rfam family: Bacterial small subunit ribosomal RNA
Source: RNAcentral